Molecule: ribosomal RNA, 460 nt
Filed under: uncultured bacterium
Lineage: Bacteria
Description: partial 16S ribosomal RNA
Rfam family: Bacterial small subunit ribosomal RNA
Source: RNAcentral
CCUACGGGGGGCUGCAGUGAGGAAUAUUGGUCAAUGGACGAGAGUCUGAACCAGUCAAGUAGCGUGAAGGAUGACUGCCCUAUGGGUUGUAAACUUCUUUUAUAAAGGAAUAAAACGAGGCACGUGUGCCUUUUUGCAUGUACUUUAUGAAUAAGGAUCGGCUAACUCCGUGCCAGCAGCCGCGGUAAUACGGAGGAUCCGAGCGUUAUCCGGAUUUAUUGGGUUUAAAGGGAGCGUAGAUGGGUUGUUAAGUCAGUUGUGAAAGUUUGCGGCUCAACCGUAAAAUUGCAAUUGAUACUGGCAGUCGUGAGUACAGUUGAGGUAGGCGGAAUUCGUGGUGUAGCGGUGAAAUGCUUAGAUAUCACGAAGAACCCCGAUUGCGAAGGCAGCUUACUAAACUGUGACUGACAUUGAUGCUCGAAAGUGUGGGUAUCAAACAGGAUUAGAUACCCCAGUAGUC